UUCCUUAGAAAGAUUGAAGUGUGGGAAUGAGAGCUCUUGGAAGUGAACAACCCUCAAUAAUGACAACAAAGAGUGUUGGUAGUGGAAGGUUUUACCAACCACCCGUCAAAUUCUGCUACGUAUAUAUGUGGUGACGAGUGUUUUGUGAGAUUAUAAGGAUUGAAAGCAAGGAUCGAAAGCAUACACAGUUUGUAGGGCUUGCCUCCACUGACACUUACCGACACGCCACGGACUGCACCGAC
RNAcentral lists this long non-coding RNA (242 nucleotides) under Selaginella moellendorffii. RNAcentral describes it as "long non-coding RNA (SMOE_LNC001592)". Lineage: Eukaryota; Viridiplantae; Streptophyta; Lycopodiopsida; Selaginellales; Selaginellaceae. The record is from RNAcentral.